UUAAAUUAUCAAUCAAAUUGCAGUUCGACUAUACGAUUUUCAAUUUCAAAUUCAAAUUUUAUUUUGAAGAAGAAAAAAUCUAUAUAGACACACCCCCGUUGAAAAAAAAACACGAUGGUUGAAACUUCCUUUUCACCGUUUGAGUAAAGACACAAACACAUUAUACAUUGUUUUCCUUCAUAAUCCUUUCGUGUAAUUAGUUCAAGUCAAAGGUGGCAAUGCGUCAAAACGUUUCUGGUUUUUCUGCCGCC
Molecule: non-coding RNA, 251 nt
Organism: Caenorhabditis elegans
Lineage: Eukaryota; Metazoa; Nematoda; Chromadorea; Rhabditida; Rhabditidae
Source: Ensembl